This 45-nucleotide non-coding RNA is filed under the name Trichobilharzia regenti. The record is from RNAcentral. Lineage: Eukaryota; Metazoa; Platyhelminthes; Trematoda; Strigeidida; Schistosomatidae.
AUCCAGGUGACUAGUCCCAAACAGGACGAAAUGCGCAUCCUGGAU